AGUGAACGCUGGCGGUAGGCCUAACACAUGCAAGUCGAACGGCAGCACAGUAAGAGCUUGCUCUUACGGGUGGCGAGUGGCGGACGGGUGAGGAAUACAUCGGAAUCUACUUUUUCGUGGGGGAUAACGUAGGGAAACUUACGCUAAUACCGCAUACGACCUACGGGUGAAAGCAGGGGAUCUUCGGUCCUUGCGCGAUUGAAUGAGCCGAUGUCGGAUUAGCUAGUUGGCGGGGUAAAGGCCCACCAAGGCGACGAUCCGUAGCUGGUCUGAGAGGAUGAUCAGCCACACUGGAACUGAGACACGGUCCAGACUCCUAAGGGAGGCAGCAGUGGGGAAUAUUGGACAAUGGGCGCAAGCCUGAUCCAGCCAUACCGCGUGGGUGAAGAAGGCCUUCGGGUUGUAAAGCCCUUUUGUUGGGAAAGAAAAGCAGCAGGUUAAUACCCCGCUGUUCUGACGGUACCCAAAGAAUAAGCACCGGCUAACUUCGUG
Molecule: ribosomal RNA, 492 nt
Filed under: uncultured bacterium
Lineage: Bacteria
Description: partial 16S ribosomal RNA
Rfam family: Bacterial small subunit ribosomal RNA
Source: RNAcentral